UAUCUUACUGUGACUAGCAAUAUGGGUCAUACUUGACUAUAAAGUAUUUAUGAUUUUGAAAUUCACAAUUUGAGUUUUAUCGGAAAUCUUUGUCUGGCACCUGAGGCUGUUGGCUAAUCACUUUGGGCAUAUGGACAUACAUACCUUUGCCAGAUGGAUGGAUGCCCGGGGUUAUGGGUUAUGGGUGCAGUGUAUGGCCAUGGAAGAGGAUGAGGCAAACAGGUGCCACCCAGCUGGACAUGCACAAGCAGCUCUGGGAUCCAAACAGGUCUGUAUCAGGUGACCCGUAUCUCUCCUCUGUCCCUCCUGCUUCUUCCCUGGAACCUCCAUCUCACCUGA
This is a non-coding RNA of Phascolarctos cinereus (koala), 339 nucleotides long. Lineage: Eukaryota; Metazoa; Chordata; Mammalia; Diprotodontia; Phascolarctidae. The record is from RefSeq and is a predicted model, not a curated record.